Molecule: ribosomal RNA, 253 nt
Filed under: uncultured bacterium
Lineage: Bacteria
Description: partial 16S ribosomal RNA
Rfam family: Bacterial small subunit ribosomal RNA
Source: RNAcentral
UACGUAGGGUGCAAGCGUUGUCCGGAAUUAUUGGGCGUAAAGAGCUCGUAGGCGGUUUGUCGCGUCUGCCGUGAAAGUCCGGGGCUCAACUCCGGAUCUGCGGUGGGUACGGGCAGACUAGAGUGAUGUAGGGGAGACUGGAAUUCCUGGUGUAGCGGUGGAAUGCGCAGAUAUCAGGAGGAACACCGAUGGCGAAGGCAGGUCACUGGGCCGCAACUGACGCUGAGGAGCGAAAGCAUGGGGAGCGAACAGG